RNAcentral lists this long non-coding RNA (1289 nucleotides) under Homo sapiens (human). RNAcentral describes it as "HSALNT0340512". Lineage: Eukaryota; Metazoa; Chordata; Mammalia; Primates; Hominidae. The record is from RNAcentral.
GAACAGGAGAAUGCUGGGGGUCAAAGGUCAGGGACAAGCUGUGUUUCUUAGCUGGACAUAGCAAUCAAAAAUUAGCAGGCCUGCACGUUAGUUACUGCCCAUAACUGGAUAAGGCCAACCCAGCCUGAACAUUGAGCUUGAACAAAGAACACAGGAUGGCGUGGUGUUGGCCACGGCAGAAUUCCCACUUCGACACCAAGACAAUCUUCCUGCUGUUGCUGAGUUUUAUGACUAUGAUGUCAUCGAAUGCUGCCAACAACAGUGCUGUUAUAUCACAAAUGAAAAGGUCUUCAAACGAACUGAGGGACCCCAUUAUGCCAAGACUGGAGCUUGUCAUAAAAAUCAUCAGUCAUUGAUGUCUGUGAGCUUCUGAGUUGGGCCUUGAGGGAAAAGAACUGUGAAAUUUGGGUUCAAUUUAGUUGUUUUGAUCUGGACUUCUUUAUGAGUAGGGAGAAUUAAAUUGGCCACAUGUGACCUUGUAUUUAGAGGAAAUCAAAUCACUCAAACAAGAUAAUUUAGCUCCUUGCUCAACAAUUCCUCCUUUUCUCUUCAACUCCAGGGUUAUUGAUUGAGGUCCUGCCUGAAUACAUUUUACUAGAGUUUAGAGAAUUGUAAUAGUUGCAUUGUUUCUCUGGUUACAACCUCAAAAUGCACUGCAGAUUUCUUCAACUGAAAUUGCUCCAAUGUUAAUAUGUUGUGGGAAUGAAAGACUGAUUUCAGCACUUAAGCUACACCACCAGAGGAAACAGCAGUGAGGAGAAACCAAGCGCGAUCAUGGGACAAGAGGUCUUUUCUUCCUGUCUUCAUCUGCUGAUCUGCUCACCUGAUAUUCACUGAGCACCAAGUUUAUGCCAGUGUCAGCUUAAUUUUGUGUAAAUAGUCUGGAAACAUGAUUUUCAUCACAGCAAGCAAAACUUGUAUAGACAUGUUUGUAAGAGGAUAUUUAUACACCACCCCAGAAUCAACCUGCCUGGACUCAAAAGCAGACAAAACCCAGAAGUAAACAGCAGAUAGAGAUGGAAAAAGCUCCAGAAGAAUUUCUCUCCUACAGAUUUAAGAGGAGAAAAUGAGACUCCUAAGUGUCAUAAAGAAUGUGUGUAGGUGGGAUAUCCUCUUUUUUUCUUCUGUUCUUUCCCAUCCAGCCCCAAGACAAUAAUAUGAUGGCAUGGUAGAGGUGAAGAUAAUGGGAGCAGUGGCUCUAGGGACCCCUCUAUGUGAAGAGAAUAUAUUCUGGCCAGGGGAGCUGUACUCACAAAAGUGACUUUAUUAUUAAAGUGCUGAAAAAAAGA